Molecule: long non-coding RNA, 231 nt
Filed under: Linum usitatissimum (flax)
Lineage: Eukaryota; Viridiplantae; Streptophyta; Magnoliopsida; Malpighiales; Linaceae
Description: long non-coding RNA (LUSI_LNC000370)
Source: RNAcentral
AAAGAACUUGCUGGUGCAAGUGGAGGAUCUUGGUGAAGCUGGGAAAGUUGAUGAAGCUCAAGCUCUUAUGAAAAAGGCGAGCUCUUGAUGUUCGUAAUAAAAUUUAAGAUCUUCCAUGUAACAAUGUUGCAGUCUGUUUAAAGAAAAUUCAAAAUUGUAUCCUUUUGCCUCUUUUCCUCAGGUAGAUGAACUGAAUACUGAGAAAGCUCUGAUUCGAGCUCAGAACGGGAA